Molecule: non-coding RNA, 46 nt
Organism: Schistosoma mattheei
Lineage: Eukaryota; Metazoa; Platyhelminthes; Trematoda; Strigeidida; Schistosomatidae
Source: Rfam
GGACUGCUGAAAAGUCUUAAAAUAGGACGAAACGACCGUCCAGUGC